GCACUAACACCACCAUAUUUUCCCAUUAUGAUCCCCAAUUACAACCCUAAUUUCUAUUUCUUUCCUCUCUCAUUCCAAUUUCACUCAUCGGAUAUUAUAAUUCCCCACUCUUUUAAAAUUAACAUUGUCCUCGAGGUCGAUUAUGAGCUAUGAACUGGGGAAAUAUAUUAUGAAUAUAGCUCCAAUCUUCCCAUGUAGUAUUGUUUGCUGACAUGUCAGACCAGUGCACAAGCACUUUGACGGCUGCUACGUUAUUAACUCUGAUGAUGCACCGCUAUAAAAUUACAAGGGGUUCCACUAAGAUUCCACCUUCACUGUCAUAAGAAGAGGGUUGCUGCUGGGAAACUAUAGUAGGUCAGAUCCUACACAUCAACUGCAACACAUAAAAAAUAGGGUGGAUCUGAGACCUUGCUGGUAACUGCAAAUGGAAUUAAGUGUCCAUGUUUUCUUUUGGGAGGCAAUGAGGAGGACUCCAAGAACACAUCUCAAUAAGUAUCAAGGAUGGUUUGAAUAGCUACUGGUGUCACAUUGAAGGAUAUGUUUCUAAGGCGAUUAACAACUCAAUUAUUCAGUAAUCCACUACCAGGUGGUGCCCCAAGUAUCCUGUUUAUCUCCGAAAACAUUCUUUCCAUCAACAGAUCGUGCUUCUAGCCUAACUCAUCAAUUUUGCCAUCAUUGGUCACGGCUUUUUGGUUUGAUUCUGUGAUAUUCUGCAAUAAUUAUAAUUCAACCUUUUAUAUGGUCCUUCAUAGUUUUACCCUAGUUUUCACCAUUUUUAGAUAGGAUUUUUUCAAGACCGGUGCUCUAUUACCGCUGUAAUGUAACUGACCCGAUUGGAAUUGUGAAUUCGAAUUUAUAACAUAACAAAAUUUUAUUGAUAACAACCAACGAUUACAAUCAAUGAAUAUGGAAAUACUAAGAUAUACUCCACUGUGAAUCUGCAACUUCCACCAUGGCUACAUGUAGUAAAGAUUAGAAUGAAGUAAUGAAGGAGAAGAUAGAUUAGAAGAGUGAGAAGAAAGUUCUAGAAGAAUAGAUAAAGAGAAUUCUGAUCAAAUUCAUAACUGCCGAUCCCAAUUUCUGGUAAGGCUACUUAUAAAAUUUGUUGUACUAGUGCUGAGCUGGAGCUAAGAUGUUUUCCUUAAUAAUUGGGCUAAUCUCCACCAUUUUUUUAUUAUUAUUAUCUUCACUGUUCCUUGUAAAAUAUUUGCUGACCCCAUUUCUCAACUGUCACUCUAAUCUGCCAACACGUGUCCGCACUAACACCACCAUAUUUACCUACUGCGAUCCCCAAUUACAACCCUAAUUUCUAUUUAUUUCCUCUCUUAUUCUAAUUCUGCUCAUCAUCUAUAACAUAUUCAGAAGGAACUUACAGUAUUGGGAAAUCGAAGAAGUGGUCAAAUUGUUCACUAAGCUAGAAGGCCAGGUUAUAAAUGUCCAGGAAGCAAACAAGUUAAGGUGGGAUAGUGAUAAGGAUGGUAAAUACUCGGUAAAAGCAAGCUAUGUAAACUCAUUUGCUCCUAAUGGAGUGCUUGAUAACUAGCCAUGGAAGUUGAUAUAGAAGACAAAUCUCCCACCAAAGAUCAUAUGAUUCAUCUGGAUAGCUCUACAUAAAGCUUUCCUCACUCAAGAUAACCUUAAGGAAAUUUCAUAUUGCCAACAGAUGCUACAUGUGUCAUCAGAACAUUGAGUCCAACAAUUAUCUAUUUUUACAUUGUAAAGUUGUUCCUGGCUUGUGGAGUAUGUCUAUAUUUAAUAUUAGUUGGGUAAUGCCACAUAGCAUUGUCCAGUGUUGUAAAAGGUGAUCGCCACAUUUGGCGAGGCAUAGUCUCCUAUUAUCAUCGUGGCGAGGUAAAAUCCAAAAGGCAAUGCCUUUUUGAGAAAGGUGACAAGGUAAGCCGAUGAUAUCGUCACCUUUUGAAUUUUUUUAAAAAAAUUAGGGUUUUAGGGUUAAAAGUUAAUUCUAGGUCUUAUUUUCAUAUUUUGUCUAUACUAACUUACUCAUUGGCGACUGGGGCUGCUACGUACUCACAACUCACAAGUUUGACUUCAACUCCGGCGACCAGUGACACUACUUCAAUGACUCCCCCUACUCUAGUUCAGAGACACGAGCUCCAGAGCACCAUUAGUAUUCCAGUAUUAAUAGUUAAAGUUAGAAGUGAGUCCUUAUCAUCCGAGGACAUGAUCAUGAUGUUACUAUGUCAUUAAUUAAUGUAUUAGUUGGAGUAAGUUGGGGAUAUGUCCCAUCAACUCCUUAUUCAGACAGUCAUGUUUUAGAGUCUUUCCAGACUACAGUAUGUUCAGAUAGCUUAUGUUAGUUUUG
This is a long non-coding RNA of Capsicum annuum, 2323 nucleotides long. RefSeq lists it as uncharacterized. The transcript has 4 exons. The record is from RefSeq and is a predicted model, not a curated record. NCBI's taxonomy places the organism in Eukaryota, Viridiplantae, Streptophyta, Magnoliopsida, Solanales, Solanaceae.